CCGGUGCAGGCGAGGACGCCGCCGCAGUCGCCGGUCUGGCAGUGGCCGUUGCCGUUGGAAUCGAAGGAGCAGCCGGUGCGAGCCCAGACGCGGCCGCCGGUGGUGCCGUCAGCCACGUUGAAGGUCCAGGACUGACCUGGGUUGAGCUGGGCGCCGCCGCCGGGGGAGGCGGCGCCCCAGACGGUGUAGGAGCAACGGUUGACGACGUUGAAGGUCGAGGCGGCGGCGAGAGGGACGAGGGCGAGGAGCAGGAGAGGGAGAGUGGUUUGUGUGGCCAUUUUUGAGGAGAAAAUGGAUUUAGAGUGUUGUUGUUGUUGUUGUUGUUAAGUGUGGUGUUGUGUGUAGGAAAGGAGGGGGGGAAGAGGGAGUGCAAUUUAUAGAGGUUUCGGAGAGGUCGCAUGGGGGAAGUUGUGCGGACGUUUUGAGAUUAAGAGGAAAAUUCAAAUAUUACGUACUAUAAACAAUGUGGCUAGUUAAUUGGCCGCGUAUGUAGGGAUGUUGAUGUUUCGACUUAUGCGUAACGCUUGUAUUCUCUUGUCACCAAGAAAAAAUAUACGUUUAAGUCUAACAGGGAGAGAAUAUAUUUUACUCUCUAGAUACCAAAUAAAUAUUCCCAAGAGAUAAAAAAUCUUAUUAGAUUGUAGUGUCAGAAAAAAAAAAAAAAAAAUCUUGACCAAAUGCACCUUCAUAUUAUUUCUUUUCAUUAAUUGCACUAUCUGAAGGCGAGUUCCAAGUUUCUUUGUCUAAAGCCCAGAUGGAGCAUUAAAUGCGUCUGUUGCCCCUCUUCCUCGGGAGUCGGGAGCCACGCCAUCCUUCGCAUCCCCGGCCCCUGUUGUCCUCGCACCCCCUGAUGGAAAAACUUCCUCGGGCCCCACUUUUGUACUCGGACUGGAGCUCAACCAGUUGUGUACUUGUGUUGGGACCUCUCUAUUCUCCGAUGCGGACCGGGCCUCUCACCGAGCCCAACUACGCUCCGGCUCCAUCUUCUCUUUCCCCCCCGGUUCCGACCCAGUUGGUCAUUGGGCUCAGCUCCCGGCCCAUCGGGGCUGCGUUAUGGGCUACCCUACUUCGCAGUCCAGCGCGGGCCAUGGGGUUGCGCUAGUGUUACACGUCACCAAUUCCCCCGCAACUGCCUAUGCUGUUUCUUUGGAAAAAAUUCUAAAAUGCAACGGGUAUAUUGAUGAUGUGACGUAACAAAUCAAUAAAAAAAAUUUUUAAAAAAAUAUAUGUCCCAUCAUGAUUAUAAAAAAAAUAUUUUUAUUGUACUUUUGUUUGAAAAGAAAAAAGGUGAUUGGCUUGUUAUUGAUGACGUGGUGCAAGUGUGAUAGUGUAGAAUUCUUCGUUUCUUUGCGCCAGUCUCAAUUGGAGCGAUCGCCACGUCGCCAACGCCUCUCCCGCUCCCGUUUCUCUGACGGAGUCUCCUUCCAUUAACAAGCACCCUCCAUCCGACCUCUCCGUUAAAGAAGUCGCGACCGCUCCCAGUGUCAGCAGGCGAAAGUAAUAUAAUCGGGCGAGACGACGACUUAUAAACAAAAUAAAAUGACAAAAUUGGUGCAAUUAAAGAAUCAGGUGAUUCAUCUACCGUACCGUCUUUAUGAGGGCAAACAAAUCACUGUAGAAAGCUUUUUAAAAACACUUCAUUAGAAAGCCUUCAAUUUAUUGUCUCAUGCAAAAAUAUAAUUUUUUUAAAAAAAUUACAAGUUAUAUGAAUUUCUGAACGAGAAAUCUCGACCGGUUGCAUAAAAAUUAUAAGUUAUAUAUAUAAAUUUCUUACGAAUCAAUAACAUCGCUUUGGACCGACCGUUUCGGUGAUUGGUAUAUGAGAUUCCAAGUUCGAAUUUUAGUUGAUUCACAUUUUCAGCUAAAUUUUUUUCUAUAUAAAAUAAAUGAAGCGUGUAUUAUGUUAACUAUCUCUUAAAAAAAAGAAAAAAAAGAAAAAAACAUCGCUUUGGCUUUAUCAUUGGAAAACCGAAGUUCAUAAAAGAAAAGACUGACCCACACGGUUUUCUCUGACUCCCAUAAAUAAAGCAAACCUAUCAAUUGCUAGGUCAACGUUGACCCAGGAAAAACGUAGCCGUUAUAAAAGUUGAUUUUAAAAGAUGGCGGGAACGGCCUGUGGAGUUAUAUAAACCAAAUUAUUUGAAAAGUCUGGUUGUUUUGAUGGCUUAUUUUUUGGAUUUUGGUUCCGUGGAACAUUCAAUGAACAUUUAUUACAAUUUAAAUCACUACUACAAUUUUUUUUUUUCCCUUUCAAUUUAAACAACCAACUUUGUCUCUCUAUCUCUCUCAAAAAAAAAAAAAAAAAAAGCUUUGUCUCUCUAUAGUCAACCGAAAAGCCAAAUGUGAAAAAAAUAUUUGUAGAGUGUUCUAUUAUUUGAUUAAUUGUUCUUUUAAGUAGUGCUACGGAAGGAGCCCGUAUUUUUAAGUUAAAAAAGUUUUUACUUUAUUUAGAGCACAAAAUUUUAUUUUUCAUUCAGCUUUUUAUUGCAGCAGCCUACAUAAUAAAUGAGAAAAUGUCGUAACUGUGUAUAUUUCCUAUCCAACCAAAUGAAUCAUGCUUAUUACUUUUAUUUCAAUCUAAACAAUCCCCAUGGAAGGAGCUUCUACAGAGUAGCCACCUUCUCUUACACAAUUACUUUAUUCCACAAUGCUUUAUUCAAGACGCAUACAAUACGUAGGCAUACGUGCAUGUAUAGAUACCGCUAUACGUAUAGUAGUAUAUAACUGUGAUCUAAGGGCAAAACACAACCUGGUAGUUGGUGUUUCCAGGGCAAGUGAAAGUGGUGCCGUCGUAAUCGUCAGGAUAGCUGAAUGCCUGAGGGCACUGGCCCUUGAAGUACUCGGAGUACUGCGUCGGGUUGCAGCUGCUCCCGGACGGGCAGCAGUACUCCGGCGCCCCGAAGAUCGUGCAUGGGUCAUCGCACCCGCCGGACACCUGCAGCGGCGCCGGGCAGUUCGCAUUUACGUUGGCGGCGCAGCUCGGCCCCGACGUGCAGCCAUUCGACGUCGGCGUGAAGCUCAGCGGCACGUUGAACCCUGAAAACAAAGCGGUUCAUUCAUUCACAAAUUUGUACUGUAAAUUAAACACUGCUCUCUAAUAGUAUAAGUUUAUAGAAUGAAAGUACCAGCCACGAGGGAGAUGUCAAAGUAGUCGAGGCCCCCAGACUGGUCGAGAGAAUACUCGGCGAGAGUAUUGGGGUUCUGUCCGUAGCCGGUGCAGGCGAGGACGCCGCCGCAGUUGCCGGUCUGGCAGUUGCCGUUGCCGUUGGAGUCGAAGGAGCAGCCGGUGCGAGCCCAGACGCGGCCGCCGGUGGUGCCGUCAGCCACGUUGAAGGUCCAGGACUGGCCCUGGUCGAGCUGGAUGCCGCCGCCGGGGGAGGCGGCGGCCCAGACGGUGUAGGAGCAUUGGUUGAUGACGUUGAAGGUGGAGGCGGCGGCGAGAGGGAGGAGGGCGAGGAGCAGGAGAGGGAGAGUGUUUUGUGUGGCCAUUUCUGGGGAGAAAAUGGAUUUAG
This 3512-nucleotide long non-coding RNA is filed under the name Ananas comosus (pineapple). RNAcentral describes it as "long non-coding RNA (ACOM_LNC014447)". The record is from RNAcentral. Lineage: Eukaryota; Viridiplantae; Streptophyta; Magnoliopsida; Poales; Bromeliaceae.